UUUUGUUUAAUCGUCUCAGGUGAGAGAGGACAUUUGGUGUUCUUACCAAGUUAGACUUGAUGGACAAAGGAACUAAUGCAUUAGCAGUUCUUGAAGGAAGAUCAUACAAGCUGCAACAUCCUUGUGUUGGGAUAGUGAACCGUUCAUAAGCAGAUAACAAUAAGAAUGUCGAUAUGAUGCUUGCGAGACACAAGGAACGAGAAUAUUUUGACAUUUAACGAGAGUACAUUUAAGGGAAACUAUGUCUCUUUAAUGAAGUCUUACAUUUUUAGCUAUUGGCUAAAUCUAUUGGUUUCAUUCUCAGGCUCAACUAUACACUAUAUUAGAGAUGUGCCGUGCAUUUGAUAAGAUAUUCAAGGAACAUCUGGAUGGCGGGUAAACAUCGUUACUCAUCUUCCUGUGGAAAUCUUUAGGCUUAAGUUAUUGGUUUUUCUUUGGUUAACCUCAUAUUAUUUACAUUUUAAGGCGUCUAUCGUAUCUAUGUAGUUUUCGACAAUCAACUUCCAGCUGCACUCAAAAUGCUUCCUUUUGUUCGCCAUCUUUCUCUACAAAGCGUUAAGAUAAUCUUGUCCGAGGCAGAUGGCUAUUAACCUCACUUGAUUGUACCUGAACAGGGUUAUCGCCAUCUUAUUGAAGGGUCGCUGGGCUACUUUAGAGGUCCAGCCGAAGCUUCUGUGGAUGCUGUAAGUUCUUCUGAAGUGUAUCUUCACUUCACUCUUAUACAUAUACAAGAUCGUAAUGAGUUUGACGCGUAUGCAGCAGGUUCACUUUGUCUUGAAAGAGCUUGUGAGGAAGUCAAUAUCAGAAACUGAGGUGAGACACUUAUUGUGAACUGCUCUCUGCAAUUCGUAGAAGUGUAUGAGAAAUCCACUCAAUCCAGAGCAUUAUUUUGUCGAUGCUUUUAUCCUUUUUUAUCAAAUCUCUCCAGUAAGAAAAAUAUAUCCUUUGGUUUCUUUGAGUUGUCGGCAAAUAUAGAAGCCAGCUCAUCAAAGGUAUUGGUAAACAUAGCAAGCAAGACCUUCCCUUUGAAUUUAUUGGAGAUGAAACUUUUAUCCUCUUCGAGAAAAGGGCAGUUUAAAGCACACAAAACUUUCAAGUUCUGUGAUGAUUUCAACAACCGUUUAACUGCAAUAUGGUCAAUGGUGGUUCUGGAGACAUCCAAACAGGUUAGUGUUGGUAGCCUCUCCCAAUUAUCUAAUGCAACUUUCCACUUUAUGUUUGAUGUCCCGGCAACAGAGAGGUAGCGAA
Non-coding RNA from Camelina sativa (false flax), 1248 nucleotides. NCBI's taxonomy places the organism in Eukaryota, Viridiplantae, Streptophyta, Magnoliopsida, Brassicales, Brassicaceae. The record is from RefSeq and is a predicted model, not a curated record.